This 468-nucleotide ribosomal RNA is filed under the name uncultured bacterium. RNAcentral's name for it is "partial 16S ribosomal RNA". It matches the Rfam family "Bacterial small subunit ribosomal RNA", at positions 28 to 507 of the family's 1533-position model. The record is from RNAcentral.
GACGAACGCUGGCGGCGUGCUUAACACAUGCGAGUCGAACGGAAAGGCCCUGCUCUUGUGGGGUGCUCGAGUGGCGAACGGGUGAGUAACACGUGAGUAACCUGCCCUUGACUUUGGGAUAACUUCAGGAAACUGGGGCUAAUACAGGAUAGGAGCUCCUGCUGCAUGUUGGGGGUUGGAAAGUUUCGGCGGUUGUGGAUGGACUCGCGGCUUAUGAGCUUGUUGGUGGGGUAGUGGCUUACCAAGGCUUUGACGGGUAGCCGGCCUGAGAGGGUGACCGGCCACAAUGGGACUGAGAUACGGACCAGACUCCUACGGGAGGCAGCAGUGGGGAAUAUUGCAGAAUGGGCGGAAGCCUGAUGCAGCAACGCCGCGUGCGGGAUGACGGCCUUCGGGUUGUGAACCGCUUUCGCCUGUGACGAAGCGUGAGUGACGGUAAUGGGUAAAGAAGCACCGGCUAACUACGUG